This 253-nucleotide ribosomal RNA is filed under the name uncultured bacterium. RNAcentral describes it as "partial 16S ribosomal RNA". It matches the Rfam family "Bacterial small subunit ribosomal RNA", at positions 524 to 776 of the family's 1533-position model. The record is from RNAcentral.
UACAGAGACUGCAAGCGUUAUUCGGAUUCACUGGGCGUAAAGGGUGCGCAGGCGGUCGGGUGUGUCAGAUGUGAAAUCCCGAGGCUCAACCUCGGAACUGCGUCUGAAACUACUCGACUAGAGUACUGGAGAGGGUAACGGAAUUCACGGUGUAGCAGUGAAAUGCGUAGAUAUCGUGAGGAACACCAGAGGCGAAGGCGGUUCUCUGGGCCUGUACUGACGCUGAGGAGCGAAAGCGUGGGGAGCGAACAGG